CCUACGGGUGGCAGCAGUGAGGAAUAUUGGUCAAUGGACGAGAGUCUGAACCAGCCAAGUAGCGUGAAGGAUGACUGCCCUAUGGGUUGUAAACUUCUUUUAUAUGGGAAUAAAAUGUUCCACGUGUGGGAUUUUGUAUGUACCAUAUGAAUAAGGAUCGGCUAACUCCGUGCCAGCAGCCGCGGUAAUACGGAGGAUCCGAGCGUUAUCCGGAUUUAUUGGGUUUAAAGGGAGCGUAGGUGGAUUGUUAAGUCAGUUGUGAAAGUUUGCGGCUCAACCGUAAAAUUGCAGUUGAAACUGGCAGUCUUGAGUACAGUAGAGGUGGGCGGAAUUCGUGGUGUAGCGGUGAAAUGCUUAGAUGUCACGAAGAACUCCGAUUGCGAAGGCAGUUCACUGGACUGCAACUGACACUGAGGCUCGAAAGUGUGGGUAUCAAACAGGAUUAGAUACCCGUGUAGUC
This 460-nucleotide ribosomal RNA is filed under the name uncultured bacterium. Its description in RNAcentral is "partial 16S ribosomal RNA". It matches the Rfam family "Bacterial small subunit ribosomal RNA", at positions 338 to 795 of the family's 1533-position model. The record is from RNAcentral.